ACGGCCCGCCGCUAUUAUUAUUAGCGGCGGGUAAUUACUGUUAUUAGCCGCGGACUACCCGCCGCUAAUAAUAAUAUUAGCCGCGGGGACUAAUAAUAGCGGUGGGCCCCGCCGCUAAUGCUCUUGAGCAGUUUAAAUUUUCCAUGCAUCCCUUCUUCUUCCCUCGCGUCUCUCAUCCCUUCUUCAACCGUUCUCUCUUCUUCAUCUCCAACGAUUCUUCACAGUUGCAGAGAAAAACAUCCGAGACAAGUUCAGGGCUCUCUGCUCGCACUGCAAUCUGAUUCUCUCUGGUUUAGCUGCUUUCUACAAAGGACAGCGACACACCCACGACCCCGACACACACACGACCUUGGCACACCCUCAACAGGUGUGGAUAUAUUUUUUGUAAUUAAUAUCUUUUGUAUUUUUUGAAUAAUUUAUUUUGUAUUUGUUUAGUGUAUAAUAUUUGAGUUUUGAGUCCUUUAGUUAGUAUCCUUGGUAUGUAAAUCUUGACAUCUAUUGUUAAGAUAUAUGUGUUUGUUCUUACUUUAUUUUUUAAUCUUGGUAUGUAAAUAAUUAUAGGACUGUUUUGGUUAAAAAUAAAAUUUAAGUGAUAAUUUAAAUUAAUUUAUAAAAUAUAAUAAUAGAUGAUUUAUUAUUAAGUAAAAUAUAGUGUUUUUGUUAAUAUUGAAUAAAGAAGAUUUAAACUUGAUCAAUCAGAUUAU
This is a long non-coding RNA of Humulus lupulus (European hop), 704 nucleotides long. RefSeq lists it as uncharacterized. The record is from RefSeq and is a predicted model, not a curated record. NCBI's taxonomy places the organism in Eukaryota, Viridiplantae, Streptophyta, Magnoliopsida, Rosales, Cannabaceae. The transcript has 3 exons.